GACGAACGCUGGCGGCGUGCUUAACACAUGCAAGUCGAACGGAAAGGCCCUGCUUUUGUGGGGUGCUCGAGUGGCGAACGGGUGAGUAACACGUGAGUAACCUGCCCCUGACUUUGGGAUAACUUCAGGAAACUGGGGCUAAUACCGGAUAGGAGCUCCUGCUGCAUGGUGGGGGUUGGAAAGUUUCGGCGGUUGGGGAUGGACUCGCGGCUUAUCAGCUUGUUGGUGGGGUUGUGGCUUACCAAGGCUUUGACGGGUAGCCGGCCUGAGAGGGUGACCGGCCACAUUGGGACUGAGAUACGGCCCAGACUCCUACGGGAGGCAGCAGUGGGGAAUAUUGCACAAUGGGCGGAAGCCUGAUGCAGCAACGCCGCGUGCGGGAUGACGGCCUUCGGGUUGUAAACCGCUUUCGCCUGUGACGAAGCGUGCUUGACGGUAAUGGGUAAAGAAGCACCGGCUAACUACGUG
This 468-nucleotide ribosomal RNA is filed under the name uncultured bacterium. RNAcentral's name for it is "partial 16S ribosomal RNA". It matches the Rfam family "Bacterial small subunit ribosomal RNA", at positions 28 to 507 of the family's 1533-position model. The record is from RNAcentral.